UCAAACACUGGUUCUGGUACGAUCACCGAAGUUAAGCAACGUCGAGACUGGUCGGUACCUAGAUGGGUGACCGCUUCGGAAUACCAGUUGCUGUAAG
This 97-nucleotide ribosomal RNA is filed under the name Acanthosepion pharaonis. Lineage: Eukaryota; Metazoa; Mollusca; Cephalopoda; Sepiida; Sepiidae. The record is from RNAcentral.